Myotis lucifugus (little brown bat) is the source of this 107-nucleotide small nuclear RNA. Lineage: Eukaryota; Metazoa; Chordata; Mammalia; Chiroptera; Vespertilionidae. The record is from Ensembl.
GUGACCGCUUCGGCAGCACAUAUACUAAAAUUGGAACAAUACAGAGAAGAUCAGCAUGGCCCCUGUGCAAGGAUGGCAGGCAAAUUCAUGAAGCGUUCCAUAUUUUA